Molecule: long non-coding RNA, 740 nt
Filed under: Sinocyclocheilus grahami
Lineage: Eukaryota; Metazoa; Chordata; Actinopteri; Cypriniformes; Cyprinidae
Description: lncRNA (ENSSGRG00000039202.1)
Source: RNAcentral
GAGAGUGUGUUGUCUUGCCAGAGCUUGUCUCAUUAAAAAAGCAAAGUUAGCAUUGUCUGUUCUCACAUCAGAUGUUAAUUACCUGGGGCUUUGUCGCAGAGAGCUUAAGGAGCGAAUCCAGAGACAGACUCGGGUCAUAUUCGACUCUGCCUGGAUCCCUAACAGCAACACAUUGUCUGCUUGCAUCACAUCACCUGCCACUGCUCCUCCCCGAUCCACACUCAUCUAGCUGGCCCUGGAGAGUUACACACAAUAGCACUAUCUAAUUGGCUACUUUCCCUCUGCCCCGCUGGAGAAGGAGGUGUCCAGAUUGUAGUCACAAGCUAAACCAAUUCAACCUCAGUUCCUUCUUACAGGGUCUCCCUGGCAACGAUGGCAUACCAGGGAAACCGGGUCCAGCCGGCCAAGCACCUCCUGUUUUGAUGCCUCAGGAUUCAGCUUCCACAGGCAAUGAGAGCUGUGGCGAAUGCUCCAAGGGUCUACCAGGUGUGCCUGGCAUGGUUGGCGCUAAGGGCGAGAAGGGAGAUCAGGGCAAGCCUGGCGCUGAACACGUAGAUGGAUGUGAACGGUGUAUAGAGAAGCUGCAGAGAGAAGAAACACCAAGUGGGCCUACGAGUAACAGUGUUCAGUGCGUUGGUGCACCAGGGAUGCCCGGAUUCCCAGGGACCGCAGGGGUGAAAGGAGAGCCGGUGAGAGAUCCUGUCGAGUUUCAUUACUAUCAGUGCCUAUUGGAGAGGAUA